UUGGCUGGCUCCUCUAUCCAGGACAGGAAAAGGGUUGGGGUGGAUGGGAGGCGGGACCGCCCGCACUGGCAGAUGCAAGAGAACACCAGCAGCCCGACCGGAGUCGGUAGCUGGCGGAUGAUAGUUUUAGUGCUAUGGAAUUUUGAAUGUCGCGUAGGAUUAACCAAAAGUCCCACAUGGGGCCUACAUCAAUAGCGAAAAACCAAUUCCGUCUCCUAGGCUGAAUAACUUCCACUUUGAUUGUGGUGGUCGCAACGGGCGCCCUCUUUCGGCGAAUGACACAUGGUUAAACGAGGAAAUGAAAACAAUAUGUUCAAAAGGCGGCGUUUGGUGUGUGUAUCCAAUUAUAACAGCAGCAGUUGGCAAGGACGAGGUUAUCUAUAUUAUCAUCUAUUGCCGUGACCCAGGCAGGGCGUGUCGAGCUCCAGCACAGCUGUCUAGACCAUUAACAUAAUUUCUGAAUGCAGUCGAACUGCCUAUAGACCGUCUCAUCCUCCUAUAAAAACAUAAUACGCAUGCGAAAUGAAGCACCCCAUUAAUUCCUGGGAGCACGGUGUCAAAAGUUCCCGCCGUAAUAGAGUAAUCGUUCCUGAUUGCUCACAGCUGUGGAAAAGAUGGUAAUAAUGGGUAACCAAGCAGGAGAAAUACCACCAUGUAGUCGUUGUUUUGUAUAUAACAGACUACCUGGAAACAUAACAAAGAUUCCCGGCCGGUUUUACGAUCAGAAGAGGACUGUAUAAACACAAGACUAGCCUAUACUAAAAAGAGGCAAGACGUAGCCCAGUGGUAAAUCACUCACUUGAUGCG
Molecule: long non-coding RNA, 807 nt
Organism: Gigantopelta aegis
Lineage: Eukaryota; Metazoa; Mollusca; Gastropoda; Neomphalida; Peltospiridae
Exons: 5
Source: RefSeq, a predicted model, not a curated record